GCUUAAUGCACUUGGCAUAUUGUUAAUGCAUGUAACUUUUGCCUUCAAAUCACAUGAGCAUGGAAUUAGCAAUGUGAGUGUUUUUAGUUGCUAUCUAUCACGUCCCAAUGUGUCCUUUCAAUUGUCCUUUUGCCUUAGUAUACAUUAUCAUAACAUCUGACAAUUUUGCCAACUGUGCAAUAUUCCACAAACCAAUAUCUAGCUGGUUUGCAAAACAGUAUCUUCUAUUGGGAAGAUCUGUAAUGUUGGGGGUAAAUCUUGGAUCAAAAGCAUCCAAAAAGCCAAAUGGACCAAAAUCAAUAGUUAUACCCAAAAUACUCAUAUUAUCAGUGUUUAGCAUCCCAUGACUGAAACCAACCCCCUACUACCUUGCAAUCAAGGAAGCAGUAUGUUGAGCAACCUCCACAACCUAUGUUGAUAUAAAGUUCCAUUAAAAAAAAGUUAUAACCACUAAUAAGCAUUUAUUUGAAAGACAAAAGAACUCAAAAACAAAAACAAAAACUAGGUAGAAAAAUCACAGUUCACAAUAAUAUAUUCUGAUAUCCAAGGAGUGUAUAUGCAACUUCUUUAACUCACAUAUUACAUAAUAACAUGAUUGUUAUCUUGGAGGGGCAAUAUAACUGAAGUUGAAGAAAAUGAAUUGAGCUCUGAAACAGAUAAUGAAAACCCCUCACAGUUUGUUGUUGUGCAAAUUUGCAUGGCCUUAACUCUAAUUACAGAGUAUGCCUAUCACCAGAUAUUGAAUAUCAUGUGGGGAGAGAGAGAGUAAAUAAGAAAGAAAAGCACACACUGAACCAUAAUAUCUCUACAUAAUUACUGAUGAUUGCCACAACAUCACAUAAGCUGAUCUUUCAAAUGCAGUUUGAAAAACCUCAAGUUAAAAGUUUCUUUCAUAUUGUCUUUUUUCAUCUCGCCACAUGGUAGUUACAAUGAUAUUUUUCUCAAGGUUUAUUUGUCAUCAUGAAAUCAUUAACCCAUCUUGAUAAGCACACCAUUUGAGUUAAUAUUAGAGCAUCCCUACUCUGUACAAAUCUGUCUCUUCUUUUAUUGUCACAAAAUUCUUUUCCCAAUUGCAUUAAACACUUCGGCAAAUUGACUAAUCCUUACCAGGUAGGCACCAAAAGUAUAAUUUGUGAUAGAAGUUAUCAAAUGCUUCAAUAAAACCUAAUAGCACUUAUGUGUCCUCCUAAUAAUGUGAAACAUGUUAGAUGCAAGAGUGGAAGAGGAGGCAAAUGAUAAUGUUACAGCUUGAUUGGCAUUAAACAGCACUGCUUCACCAUUUCUUUACUGUCACAGUGCCUCCAAUGUGUAGACAAGCAGCUAAUUGCUGUAAAAUCUGCUUCAUCAAGGGGUGGCAAAAGGGAUUUAAGUCAUUCUUGAGUGCCAUACAAAUGAAGCUUGUUUAGUUGCUGACAUUUGUCAGUUUUGUCCAUUAAUAAGAAGCUGCAAGACGGCGAUUUGUUAAUGUGCAGGUGGUUUAAAGUUGGUGCCAAAAUUUAGCACCCACUUUUCCCUCCCCCACCAAUUGUGAUAAUUUUAUUUGGAUGAUGUCAUCACCAUUUAAUAAUGUGUUCUUACUGUAUAUUCAAUAGAAUUAGACCAUAGAGUAGAUAUUAGUCUUGCAUAUUUUAUUAAUACAUAUGUUAUCUGACAUUUAUUUCUUACAAAAACUUAAGAUCAUUAUGUUCAAACACAUUGCCAAAGCCAACGAAUCAAUCCAUCAUGCAUGUUAUAAAUAAGGACAUCUAUUGAAAACAUUUCACUCAUCUAAUGACUUCUUUUCCUUUACUUCAACUGCAUUACAUGUUGUCCUGAUUCUCCUAACUUCUACAUCCCAACAUCCAUUAAGAACGAUGGACUACGAAUUAAUCAAAGAUAUUGACUACAUAAAGGAGGCAUUAGUAAGUGGACUCAACUUCACUGAGAUCCUCCCCUUGACCCGGUGUCAAUUGUAAUGAUAUUAAUGGAUGAAGAGGUAUGUUAUUGAUUAUUUGUCGUGCCUCAUGGAGCAUUUAUCUUCUAUAAUUGUUGCUGAUCAUGUCUCACAAUCAUGUCAUAUUGUGUUCCUCUUUCAAAGUCAUCUAUUAUUGAAGCUGAUGUCGGCAACAAAGCCUUGCACGAGCAAUUCAGAAAUGAACCAGCUGAAGGAGGAGUUUAUUUUAUUGAGAACUUCACAAUCUCUCGUAACAAGUGGAAUUAUAGGCCAACAAAGCAUCCAUGGAAGCUAAGUUUCCAUGUCAAUACAUUCAUUAAACCUUGUGAUGCAGUAAUACCAGAAGACCACUUUGACAUUGUCCCAAUUGAGAGGCUCUUGGAUGAUUAAAAUCGCAAAACACUUAAGAUAGAUGUUCUCAUUGGCAAGUAUCAAUGACUAAUCUCGCAAUAGACCAUCCUUGAUAUUUGUUACUCUUACAUGUUGGUUUUCACUUUGCCAAGUCACUUUCUCAUUGUACUUGUCUUAGACAUCAUUGGCUUCCUAAAAUCUUUUGGAUCACUUGAAGAAUAUCGGACACAAAGUGGACCACAAAGUAGGCUUACCUUGACAAUAGCAGACGAAGAGGAUAGGACUAUCAAUUGCUUGCUUUGGGGAGAUGUAGCUGCUAAUGCUUAUUAGAGUAAGCAGGAUGACAUGGAGCCACCAAUACUCAUAGCCAUUCAAUUUGCACGAAUAGAUAUCAAGGAUGGUAACAUCCAGAUCAACAACACAUAUAAUGCCACCAAAGUCUCAUAUAAUCCAGGUAUACCUCAAGCAAAACAGUUGCUUCACAGGUAAGCAAUCAUUUUUCAUGUAUCUCAUAGUUAGCAUUCUUGAAGCAAAUAGUCCUUUUUCUUAGAUCUCAUACUUGGCAUUCCUGCAUGUAAUAUACCUUAUUUGUUAAUACAAGUUUCAUUAUUAAUUAUUAAUUAUUUAAAAUUUUUUGUAUUUUGAACAUUUAACUUCUUCAUUUUGUUAGUCCCUAUAGUAAAUAUUGAUUUAUUCAUUCAUUUGUCACUUUCAAAUCUGUGUAGAUAAAUUAAUAUAAUUUAAUAUUUACUAUUUAACUAA
This is a long non-coding RNA of Prosopis cineraria, 3046 nucleotides long. RefSeq lists it as uncharacterized. The transcript is spliced from 3 exons. The record is from RefSeq and is a predicted model, not a curated record. NCBI's taxonomy places the organism in Eukaryota, Viridiplantae, Streptophyta, Magnoliopsida, Fabales, Fabaceae.